RNAcentral lists this ribosomal RNA (2899 nucleotides) under Klebsiella pneumoniae. RNAcentral describes it as "bacterial LSU rRNA". It matches the Rfam family "Bacterial large subunit ribosomal RNA". Lineage: Bacteria; Pseudomonadati; Pseudomonadota; Gammaproteobacteria; Enterobacterales; Enterobacteriaceae. The record is from RNAcentral.
UUAAGCGACUAAGCGUACACGGUGGAUGCCCUGGCAGUCAGAGGCGAUGAAGGACGUGCUAAUCUGCGAAAAGCGUCGGUAAGGUGAUAUGAACCGUUACAGCCGGCGAUGUCCGAAUGGGGAAACCCAGUGCAAUUCGUUGCACUAUCGUUAACUGAAUACAUAGGUUAACGAGGCGAACCGGGGGAACUGAAACAUCUAAGUACCCCGAGGAAAAGAAAUCAACCGAGAUUCCCCCAGUAGCGGCGAGCGAACGGGGAGCAGCCCAGAGUCUGAAUCAGCUUGUGUGUUAGUGGAACGGUCUGGAAAGUCCGACGGUACAGGGUGAUAGUCCCGUACACCAAAAUGCACAGGCUGUGAACUCGAAGAGUAGGGCGGGACACGUGGUAUCCUGUCUGAAUAUGGGGGGACCAUCCUCCAAGGCUAAAUACUCCUGACUGACCGAUAGUGAACCAGUACCGUGAGGGAAAGGCGAAAAGAACCCCGGCGAGGGGAGUGAAAAAGAACCUGAAACCGUGUACGUACAAGCAGUGGGAGCACCUUCGGGUGUGACUGCGUACCUUUUGUAUAAUGGGUCAGCGACUUAUAUUCUGUAGCAAGGUUAACCGUAUAGGGGAGCCGCAGGGAAACCGAGUCUUAACUGGGCGUUAAGUUGCAGGGUAUAGACCCGAAACCCGGUGAUCUAGCCAUGGGCAGGUUGAAGGUUGGGUAACACUAACUGGAGGACCGAACCGACUAAUGUUGAAAAAUUAGCGGAUGACUUGUGGCUGGGGGUGAAAGGCCAAUCAAACCGGGAGAUAGCUGGUUCUCCCCGAAAGCUAUUUAGGUAGCGCCUCGUGAACUCAUCUUCGGGGGUAGAGCACUGUUUCGGCUAGGGGGUCAUCCCGACUUACCAACCCGAUGCAAACUACGAAUACCGAAGAAUGUUAUCACGGGAGACACACGGCGGGUGCUAACGUCCGUCGUGAAGAGGGAAACAACCCAGACCGCCAGCUAAGGUCCCAAAGUCAUGGUUAAGUGGGAAACGAUGUGGGAAGGCACAGACAGCCAGGAUGUUGGCUUAGAAGCAGCCAUCAUUUAAAGAAAGCGUAAUAGCUCACUGGUCGAGUCGGCCUGCGCGGAAGAUGUAACGGGGCUAAACCAUGCACCGAAGCUGCGGCAGCGACACUAUGUGUUGUUGGGUAGGGGAGCGUUCUGUAAGCCUGCGAAGGUGUGCUGUGAGGCAUGCUGGAGGUAUCAGAAGUGCGAAUGCUGACAUAAGUAACGAUAAAGCGGGUGAAAAGCCCGCUCGCCGGAAGACCAAGGGUUCCUGUCCAACGUUAAUCGGGGCAGGGUGAGUCGACCCCUAAGGCGAGGCCGAAAGGCGUAGUCGAUGGGAAACAGGUUAAUAUUCCUGUACUUGGUGUUACUGCGAAGGGGGGACGGAGAAGGCUAUGUUAGCCGGGCGACGGUUGUCCCGGUUUAAGCAUGUAGGCUGGUUAUCCAGGCAAAUCCGGAUAAUCAAGGCUGAGGUGUGAUGACGAGGCACUACGGUGCUGAAGUAACAAAUGCCCUGCUUCCAGGAAAAGCCUCUAAGCAUCAGGUAACAUCAAAUCGUACCCCAAACCGACACAGGUGGUCAGGUAGAGAAUACCAAGGCGCUUGAGAGAACUCGGGUGAAGGAACUAGGCAAAAUGGUGCCGUAACUUCGGGAGAAGGCACGCUGGUGUGUAGGUGAAGUCCCUGCGGAUGGAGCUGAGACCAGUCGAAGAUACCAGCUGGCUGCAACUGUUUAUUAAAAACACAGCACUGUGCAAACACGAAAGUGGACGUAUACGGUGUGACGCCUGCCCGGUGCCGGAAGGUUAAUUGAUGGGGUUAUCCGUAAGGAGAAGCUCUUGAUCGAAGCCCCGGUAAACGGCGGCCGUAACUAUAACGGUCCUAAGGUAGCGAAAUUCCUUGUCGGGUAAGUUCCGACCUGCACGAAUGGCGUAAUGAUGGCCAGGCUGUCUCCACCCGAGACUCAGUGAAAUUGAACUCGCUGUGAAGAUGCAGUGUACCCGCGGCAAGACGGAAAGACCCCGUGAACCUUUACUAUAGCUUGACACUGAACAUUGAGCCUUGAUGUGUAGGAUAGGUGGGAGGCUUUGAAGCGUGGACGCCAGUCUGCGUGGAGCCAACCUUGAAAUACCACCCUUUAAUGUUUGAUGUUCUAACGUUGGCCCCUGACCGGGGUUGCGGACAGUGUCUGGUGGGUAGUUUGACUGGGGCGGUCUCCUCCCAAAGCGUAACGGAGGAGCACGAAGGUUAGCUAAUCCUGGUCGGACAUCAGGAGGUUAGUGCAAUGGCAUAAGCUAGCUUGACUGCGAGCGUGACGGCGCGAGCAGGUGCGAAAGCAGGUCAUAGUGAUCCGGUGGUUCUGAAUGGAAGGGCCAUCGCUCAACGGAUAAAAGGUACUCCGGGGAUAACAGGCUGAUACCGCCCAAGAGUUCAUAUCGACGGCGGUGUUUGGCACCUCGAUGUCGGCUCAUCACAUCCUGGGGCUGAAGUAGGUCCCAAGGGUAUGGCUGUUCGCCAUUUAAAGUGGUACGCGAGCUGGGUUUAGAACGUCGUGAGACAGUUCGGUCCCUAUCUGCCGUGGGCGCUGGAGAAUUGAGGGGGGCUGCUCCUAGUACGAGAGGACCGGAGUGGACGCAUCACUGGUGUUCGGGUUGUCAUGCCAAUGGCACUGCCCGGUAGCUAAAUGCGGAAGAGAUAAGUGCUGAAAGCAUCUAAGCACGAAACUUGCCCCGAGAUGAGUUCUCCCUGAGACUAUAAGUCUCCUGAAGGAACGUUAAAGACGAUGACGUUGAUAGGCCGGGUGUGUAAGCGCAGCGAUGCGUUGAGCUAACCGGUACUAAUGAACCGUGAGGCUUAACCU